RNAcentral lists this ribosomal RNA (762 nucleotides) under Arthrobacter oryzae. RNAcentral's name for it is "bacterial SSU rRNA". It matches the Rfam family "Bacterial small subunit ribosomal RNA", at positions 565 to 1324 of the family's 1533-position model. The record is from RNAcentral. Lineage: Bacteria; Bacillati; Actinomycetota; Actinomycetes; Micrococcales; Micrococcaceae.
GAGCUCGUAGGCGGUUUGUCGCGUCUGCCGUGAAAGUCCGGGGCUCAACUCCGGAUCUGCGGUGGGUACGGGCAGACUAGAGUGAUGUAGGGGAGACUGGAAUUCCUGGUGUAGCGGUGAAAUGCGCAGAUAUCAGGAGGAACACCGAUGGCGAAGGCAGGUCUCUGGGCAUUAACUGACGCUGAGGAGCGAAAGCAUGGGGAGCGAACAGGAUUAGAUACCCUGGUAGUCCAUGCCGUAAACGUUGGGCACUAGGUGUGGGGGACAUUCCACGUUUUCCGCGCCGUAGCUAACGCAUUAAGUGCCCCGCCUGGGGAGUACGGCCGCAAGGCUAAAACUCAAAGGAAUUGACGGGGGCCCGCACAAGCGGCGGAGCAUGCGGAUUAAUUCGAUGCAACGCGAAGAACCUUACCAAGGCUUGACAUGGGCCGGACCGGGCUGGAAACAGUCCUUCCCCUUUGGGGCCGGUUCACAGGUGGUGCAUGGUUGUCGUCAGCUCGUGUCGUGAGAUGUUGGGUUAAGUCCCGCAACGAGCGCAACCCUCGUUCCAUGUUGCCAGCGCGUAAUGGCGGGGACUCAUGGGAGACUGCCGGGGUCAACUCGGAGGAAGGUGGGGACGACGUCAAAUCAUCAUGCCCCUUAUGUCUUGGGCUUCACGCAUGCUACAAUGGCCGGUACAAAGGGUUGCGAUACUGUGAGGUGGAGCUAAUCCCAAAAAGCCGGUCUCAGUUCGGAUUGGGGUCUGCAACUCGACCCCAUGAA